Long non-coding RNA from Physeter macrocephalus (sperm whale), 1077 nucleotides. RefSeq lists it as uncharacterized. The transcript is spliced from 3 exons. Lineage: Eukaryota; Metazoa; Chordata; Mammalia; Artiodactyla; Physeteridae. The record is from RefSeq and is a predicted model, not a curated record.
GAACCUGAAACACAGGGCCCCAGAGAGACGUGACACCUCCAACCCAAUCCCAUAACUCACCCUUACCUUUCACGGUAGGCAACAAGAAAUUGAAGAGGCCGGUAAAAAGGAGACUCGAUUCAGACAGACCUGGGUUCAAAUGCCACCCUACUCGCUGAUACUUGUUUCAGGUGAACGAGUGGGUACUACCCUUCACUGUGGGACUGCUGUGGCUUAGAGAUGACAGGCCCUUACCUGGCACAGUGCCACCCAGCAAAUACAAGGUGCCCCCUUGGACCUCGGGUGCUGGACUCCACACUACUCUUGGGCUCCUUCCUGCCUCUGCUCCCAAAGAGGGAGGCAGGUUCAACUUGAGUGUGAGAGAAGUGUCCUGUGCCCACCACCAGAGGACUGGCCAGGCGUCAGCAGUGACAAUGUGGACUUGGCUAUGGUUGGAUCUUAUGAGACCACUCGCUGGGCAAGGAAGACUUCAUUUUCCCCACUUGUCAGGAAACGCCAGCUCCUCUGCCACCACGUAUGAGAAGCAACCCAAACAGGAGGUGUUGUCAUUGGCUCUGUUUUACAUAUGGGAAAACUGAGGCACAGAGGUUAAGGGACUUGCUCAAAUCAUACAAGCCAGUAAGCAAUGUGACUGGGACUCUCGGCCAGGCUGGUGGGCUCCACUGCCUGCUCAUAACACUACCCGAUAACUGCUCCUGAAGUUGCUGAAUGUCAAAAAUGAUUUUUUGACAUCCCAUCUAAUCUGGGGACCUUAUGAACAUCUGUAAAAAACAGUUCCCGUAUACUUUUUAGGACCCAACAUUUUCCCACUUUAGCCAGACAAUGCUGAAAGCAAUCACUUUUGAAAGCAAAUUAGAGAAAGAUCUAGUAAGCACUAUAGGUAUUUUCCAACAUAAGAACAUGAAUCAAUCCUCAGGAAAUAACAGAACCUGCCACCCUCUCCCCAUUCUGCACCCAGUUUUAAGAGUCUCAUCUAAAGGCUGAAAGGUGCUGUAGGAAUCUCACUGGUCAGAACUCCGUGAUCUACUAUUCAACGAUAUUUACUGAGCCCAUGCCAGGCUUUAGCCUCUAAAGAAA